This 289-nucleotide ribosomal RNA is filed under the name uncultured bacterium. RNAcentral describes it as "partial 16S ribosomal RNA". It matches the Rfam family "Bacterial small subunit ribosomal RNA", at positions 29 to 334 of the family's 1533-position model. The record is from RNAcentral.
AAUGAACGCUGGCGGCAGGCCUAACACAUGCAAGUCGAGCGAGAACGCACCUUCGGGUGUUAUUAGAGCGGCAAACGGGUGAGUAACACGUGGGAAUGUACCUUUCGGUCUAGGAUAGCCCUGGGAAACUGGGAUUAAUACUGGAUACGCAUUACGAUGGAAAGAUUUAUCGCCGAAAGAUCAGCCCGCGCUAGAUUAGAUAGUUGGUGAGGUGAUGGCUCACCAAGUCUACGAUCUAUAGCUGGUUUGAGAGGAUGAUCAGCCACAUUGGGACUGAGAUACGGCCCAG